AUCCAGGUGUCCCUGGUCUUUCUGUUUAAGAUGGAAAUCUGGUUAAGAUAAAUGUGGGAGCUGCCAACCACCAUCUACCUAAAGAAAAGAAAAGGAAAGAGAAGAAAAAUGUGUUCCUGGUCCUAAAGGGGGAUGGAGAGAGAGAAUACAAGCAGGCAG
Molecule: long non-coding RNA, 159 nt
Organism: Enhydra lutris kenyoni (northern sea otter)
Lineage: Eukaryota; Metazoa; Chordata; Mammalia; Carnivora; Mustelidae
Exons: 3
Source: RefSeq, a predicted model, not a curated record